RNAcentral lists this ribosomal RNA (460 nucleotides) under uncultured bacterium. RNAcentral describes it as "partial 16S ribosomal RNA". It matches the Rfam family "Bacterial small subunit ribosomal RNA", at positions 338 to 795 of the family's 1533-position model. The record is from RNAcentral.
CCUACGGGUGGCAGCAGUGAGGAAUAUUGGUCAAUGGACGAGAGUCUGAACCAGCCAAGUAGCGUGAAGGAUGACUGCCCCAUGGGUUGUAAACUUCUUUUAUAUGGGAAUAAAAUGUUCCACGUGUGGGAUUUUGUAUGUACCAUAUGAAUAAGGAUCGGCUAACUCCGUGCCAGCAGCCGCGGUAAUACGGAGGAUCCGAGCGUUAUCCGGAUUUAUUGGGUUUAAAGGGAGCGUAGGUGGAUUGUUAAGUCAGUUGUGAAAGUUUGCGGCUCAACCGUAAAAUUGCAGUUGAAACUGGCAGUCUUGAGUACAGUAGAGGUGGGCGGAAUUCGUGGUGUAGCGGUGAAAUGCUUAGAUAUCACGAAGAACUCCGAUUGCGAAGGCAGUUCACUGGACUGCAACUGACACUGAGGCUCGAAAGUGUGGGUAUCAAACAGGAUUAGAUACCCUUGUAGUC